This is a long non-coding RNA of Rosa rugosa (rugosa rose), 672 nucleotides long. RefSeq lists it as uncharacterized. The record is from RefSeq and is a predicted model, not a curated record. The transcript has 3 exons. Lineage: Eukaryota; Viridiplantae; Streptophyta; Magnoliopsida; Rosales; Rosaceae.
CCGACCCUUUCUCUCUCUCCUCGUCCCCGACCGGCAGAAAACAGAGCAAAUCUUCUCCUUAAUUGUUCUUCCUCCUCCGGCCACCAAAUCACCCCAAACAAGUUCCUAUAGCUUCGUAUCAACCUCAGGAAGACACCAGUACCAAGAUUUAGUCGCCUCGUGCACCGUACAAGGUGGUGGAACGCAAAAACCCGGAGAGGCCGAAAUCGGUUCCAACCGAGUUUUCUCCCAACCCCGACGACCAAAGUUCGUGAAAUUUGGAUGGUAAACACUCCUUGAGGUGCAGAAUACACGGCGUGAAGGAGAGCUCGAAAAUCUCAGCGUAGACCGGCGAACGGAGCUUCGCCGGAAAUCUGGAACAAAAUCCGGCGAAACCGGACUGUAAAAGGUGAUUUCCGGAACGAUCCGUGAAUUGUGUUUUGGGAGCUUUUGAGAAGACGCAGUGGGACUAGAGGUCAGGAGAAUCAGGGAGGUGAUCGAGCUGCAUAAGGCAGCAGAGUCGAGUUCAGCACUUAUUCUAUUUUGGUGUGUUUUGUAGACUCUCUUGAGCGUAGCAUUUUAUUUAAGUAAGUAUUGUAAUAAUCGACUCGAGACAUAGUUUGCUACUAGGUUAGUAUUGUGGGUUGUGUGUUGCUGUUUAUAUGAAAAAAAUUCAGGACGUUAUUUAUUUUA